This 488-nucleotide ribosomal RNA is filed under the name uncultured bacterium. Its description in RNAcentral is "partial 16S ribosomal RNA". It matches the Rfam family "Bacterial small subunit ribosomal RNA", at positions 28 to 506 of the family's 1533-position model. The record is from RNAcentral.
GAUGAACGCUAGCGGCAGGCUUAAUACAUGCAAGUCGAGGGGCAGCAGGACUGUAGCAAUACAGUUGCUGGCGACCGGCAAACGGGUGCGGAACACGUACGCAACCUACCCAAAACUGGGGGAUAGCCCGGGGAAACCCGGAUUAAUACCUCGUAACCUUUUUAAGUGGCAUCACUUGAUAAGUAUAGCUCCGGCGGUUUUGGAUGGGCGUGCGCCUGAUUAGGUAGUUGGUGCGGGUAACGGCCCACCAAGCCUGCGAUCAGUAACUGGUGUGAGAGCACGACCAGUCACACGGGCACUGAGACACGGGCCCGACUCCUACGGGAGGCAGCAGUAAGGAAUAUUGGUCAAUGGACGCAAGUCUGAACCAGCCAUGCCGCGUGAAGGAUGAAGGUCCUCUGGAUUGUAAACCUCUUUUAUGGGGGACGAAACCCGGAUAUUCUUAUCCGAUUGACGGUACCUCAGGAAUAAGCACCGGCUAACUCCGU